This 446-nucleotide ribosomal RNA is filed under the name uncultured bacterium. RNAcentral describes it as "partial 16S ribosomal RNA". It matches the Rfam family "Bacterial small subunit ribosomal RNA", at positions 330 to 792 of the family's 1533-position model. The record is from RNAcentral.
GCCAGACUCCUACGGGAGGCAGCAGUGGGGGAUAUUGCACAAUGGGGGGAACCCUGAUGCAGCGACGCCGCGUGGGUGAAGGAGCGUUUCGGCGCGUAAAGCCCUCUCGGCAGGGAAGAAGGAGGACGGUACCUGACUAAGAAGCCCCGGCUAACUACGUGCCAGCAGCCGCGGUAAUACGUAGGGGGCAAGCGUUAUCCGGAUUUACUGGGUGUAAAGGGGGCGCAGACGGCAGCGCAAGCCAGGAGUGAAAGCCCGGGGCCCAACCCCGGGACUGCUCUGGAAACUGUGCAGCUAGAGUGCAGGAGAGGCAGGCGGAAUUCCUAGUGUAGCGGUGAAAUGCGUAGAUAUUAGGAGGAACACCGGUGGCGAAGGCGGCCUGCUGGACUGUGACUGACGUUGAGGCUCGAAAGCGUGGGGAGCAAACAGGAUUAGAUACCCGAGUA